AUGGACAUCAUUACCCUAAGUACAUGUAUGAAGACACAAAUGGUGUGAAUAUACUUUGUGUACAACCAGAGAUAGGAAAAAUUGUGCUCUAUAUGUGUAAUAUGAAUCGUAAUGCAUUCUGCUGUCAUAUAUAAUAAAUUAGAAUAAAAAUAAGUAAAUAAAUAAUAAAUAAAUAGAGCCACUCAGGAUAAAUAUUUGUUGGGUAUUAUUUAGUAGUUUUUGCCUCUGAAGAAAUUUUUCAUUUUUUUUUAUAUUAUCCAAUUUAUGGAUAUGAAGUAGUAUUUCAUUCUCCCCGUAUUUUUAUUGGUGCAUUUUAAUUAUGCAUAUUGGUGGGAUUUGUGGUUACAUAUUCAUACAUGCACACAAUAUAACAAUACAAUCUGAUCAAUAUCAUACCCCAGUAUUUCCCCUUCCCUCCCUCCUCCUACCUCUUGGUUCCUUUCCGCUAUACUACUGAUCUCCCUUGGAUUUUCAUGAAAUCUGCCCCCACCUUUCUUUUCUUUUUUCCUCUCUAUCUUCUACCUAUGAGAGAAAACAUAUGACCUUUGACUUUCAGAGUUUGGCUUAUUUCACUUAAUAUAUGAUCUCAAGUUUCAUCCAUUUUUCCACAAAUGACAUAAUUUUUUUCUUCUUUAUGACCAAAUAAAACUCCAUUAUGUAUAACUACCACUUCUUGAUCCAUUAUCCAUUGAUGGACACCCAGACUGGUUCCAUAAUUUAGCUAUUGUGAAUUGUGCUGCUAUAAACAUGGGUGUGCAUGUAUCACUGUAGUAUGCUGACUUGAAUUCUUUAGGGUAAAUAUUAAGGAGUGGUAUAACUGGGUUGUAUGGUGGUUCCAUUCUUAGUUCCAAUCAAAUCUUGGCUGAUUUCCGUAGUGUUUGUAAUAAUUUACUAACCCAUCGGCAGCGUAAAAGGGUUCCUUUUUCUCCCCAUCCUCUCCGGUAUUUAUUAUCAUUUGUAUUCUUGAUGGUUGCCAUUCUAACUGGAAUGAGAUAAAAUCUCAGUAUGGUUUUGCUUUGCAUUUCCCUAAACACUAAAGAUGUUGAACAUAUUUUUCUGUAUAUUUAUUGUCCAUUUACAUUUCUUCUCUUGAGAAGUGUCUGUUUAUUUCAUUUGUCCAUUUAUUAAUUGGGUUAUUUGUGGUUUUUUUAUUUGGUUUUUGGUGUUAAGUUUUUUGAGUUCUUUAUAUUUUCUAGAUAUUAAUCCUCUGUCACAAAAGUAGCAAAGAUUCUCUCCUAUUCUGUAGGUUCUCUCUUCACAUUCUUUGUUUUAAAUCUCUUUUUUUGUUAGAGCUUAAUUGUUCUCUUCACAUUCUUUUGCUGUACAAAAGCUUUUUAAUUUGAUGCCAUCCCACUUAUUAACUCUUGCCUGCUCCUAUAUGUUGAAGUGUUGAUCCUAUGUUUUCUUCAAUAAGUUGUAGAGUUUCUGGCCUAAUUCCCAGGUCUUUGAGCCAUUUUGAGUUGACUUUUGUGUUGAGCAGGAGAUAAAGGUCUAGUCUCAUUCUUUUACCUCUGCUUAACCAGUUUUCC
RNAcentral lists this long non-coding RNA (1529 nucleotides) under Marmota monax (woodchuck). The record is from RNAcentral. Lineage: Eukaryota; Metazoa; Chordata; Mammalia; Rodentia; Sciuridae.